This is a long non-coding RNA of Oncorhynchus tshawytscha (Chinook salmon), 7664 nucleotides long. The record is from Ensembl. NCBI's taxonomy places the organism in Eukaryota, Metazoa, Chordata, Actinopteri, Salmoniformes, Salmonidae.
GAAGACAAUAUUCGUUAGCAGCAGGAGGAGAUGGAGCGGCGAAGACAGGAGGAGCAACGAAGACGACAGCAGGAGGAGAUGGAGCGGCGAAGACAGGAGGAGCAACGAAGACGACAGCAGGAGGAGAUGGAGCGGCGAAGACAGGAGGAGCAACGAAGGCGACAGCAGGAGGAGAUGGAGCGGCGAAUACAGGAGGAGCAACGAAGACAACAGCAGGAGGAGAGGAGGCGCCAGGAACAACUGGAGAGGGAGAGGGCGAUCCAGCAAGAAAUCGAAAGGGAGAGCGAACUUUUGGGUAAGAAGAUGUCAAAGGGACGAGAAAAGCUGAGACAGAAGCUGAGACUAAAAGGACAACAGCGCCAUCACCAGCGUACACAGGUACUACACCAGAUGAUAGAAGAUGACGCUGCAGCAAUCAGAAGGGAUGAGCCAUGGGACUUGAAAAAUAAGUUUGAAGAUCUUCUGAAGAAAUACGAGAUCACUGAAGACAAAGGCAUGCAGGAGGACAAACUUGAAAACAGAAUGAAAACUCUUCAGAAUGAACUAACCCUUAAAUACUUUGGAGAGCCUCAACUGUCAAUCUGGUGUCAGUUGACCAUAGAUCGUGCUAUCAGCCAAGGAGAGCAAUCGCUCACUGAGCAGUUUAGCAUCCUCACGGCUGUGACAGAGCUAACGUUGACCAAUGACUCGGACACAGACAGUAAAGAGGACCAACUACUUGACUGGGACCAGAAGUGUGACUUUCUCAUCCGUCUUCUUGAACAGCUGUACAGCACAAAUCCCACAGUGGCUCAACAACUUGUUCUGAGCAUUCUUGAUGUGUUCACAGAGGUGUCAGAGAAAAACAAGGGGCUCCUUAGUCAAAUUCUCUUCAACAUGAUCUGGACACCUGCAGAAAUUCUGCUCUUUUUGCGAGGUGUUUCAGGCAUAAACCAAGAGUUAGCAACCUCAAUCCUUCAUACUGUGAGGACAAACAAGCUGGAUCUUCUCUCUACUCUCUCUGCCUUGAAAGGUAAAGACCCUGUCAACUCUCUACAAUGGUAUGCUGAGGCAGAAGGGAACAAGGAUGCCGACACCAUUGUGAAUGAAAUGCAAAAUGAAAAGUACCCAGAGAAAAUAUUGUCCAUAAUGAAGGAAAUUCUAGGAUAUAUGACAGAGGAACUUCCAAAACAUGCAAAGGAGGACUUGGAUCAGGUAAAGAUAGAGGAAGCAAAGCAGAUGAUCAAGUCACUGGAUUUUACUAACCCUGACCUUGCUGUUCUCAAGGAGGUCCUAAUAAGGAUGUCUAUUGCUGUGCAAGACUGCUCAACCAUUUACACUCAAAACGGUAAAAACAUAGAAGGCUACUUUCCUAGCAUCACUCCGCUGGAAUCACUGCACACUGCUGAGAAAAUAGAAGGCUACUUUCCCCGACUCACUCAGUUGGCAUCACUGCUCAUGCUCCUUCUACCAAAGUUAACAGGGAAAAAAGGUAUCCUUCUGGAAAUCGGCACAGGUGAAGGAAAAUCUUGCAUCUUGGCUAUGUUUGCCACCAUCCAGGCCAUCCGUGGCACUAAGGUUGACGUUGUGACCAGUUCUCCAGUCCUUGCUCGCCGAGACCAAGAGGAGUGGAAGAAACUGUAUGACAUGUUUGGUGUCACAUCCUCUGUUGUGCCACCACCACAGAUACAGGGAAGCUCCCCUGAAAGCAGGGAUAGUAUGCUACAGGAGGCUUACAGGAAACAAUUAGUUUACGGAACCGUUGCCAGCUUUGCAGCAGACGCAUUGAGGCAGGAAUUCGAGAAGGACACCACACGUGGGGAGAGGAGGUUCGACAUGGUGAUUGUGGAUGAAGUGGACUACAUGACCUUGGACAAUGGAGUUCAGGUGACGUUUCUAUCCCACGAGGCAAGUGGCCUGAGGCACCUCGGACAAGUCCUUGCUAGCAUAUGGGCCAUGGUAUCUAUGUGUCAGCCAAUUGAGAUGGAAGAUACUGGAGAGAUUGAGUGGGCAACUGGAAUCCAGCAUUUUCACAAGGCUGCAAAGUUAGCUGUUAUCGGUCCAGCGACAUCUAAAGAAUUCUCUGAAUUUCACAUUUUGGAAGCCGGAGUGGAGUUGGGUAUCUAUUCAGAUGAAGAUUUUGAUAUGUUCAUGCAUGCUCUAGAGAACACAGAGAAUGACGAUACAACGGAGAACAGGAUAACUGUUGAUACAUUCUUGGCCAAAGUUGGAAUUACUCAACAGUGUGAUCUGCUCACCAUCAUGGAGAAAGCACUGGAGAAUGAUGUGGCCAUUGACUGUUACUCUGUGACAAACAAUAAAGCCGUGCUGGUUGAGGAGAAAAAGUUGCACAACAACCCUGAUAUCCUGGAAAUCAAAAUGCUUCUCCUCGAGAAUGGACGAGCCAGCGAGAUCAUACCUGAAGACAAACUCAUUAAGGCAACAGUCUCUGAGCUGAAGUCUAAAAUCAAAUAUUCUGGCAGCUCUCAGUCAAACUCAGAGUUUCUUGUGAUCCCCUCUUUCCUUGAGAAGUACCUUGAGAAUCAGUUACCAGUCUUUGUGGAAAACGCCCUGAAAGCCAUCAUGAUGACACAAGGCAGAGAGUACAUGAUUGAUCAGACCUUGGAAGCUGUCGGAGACAAGCAUCACUACCAUGCUAUCAUCCCAGUGGACUUCCAGGCCAGUGGAGUGUUGGAGAAGAACAAACGCUGGGGGGACGGCCUGCAGCAGUUUCUGGAGAUGAAACACCAGCUGGCAACCACUACUUUGUCCAAUGUGACUAAUUACCUUUCAAACUUCCAUUACUUUCAAAAGUACCUGAAAGGGAAUGGGAUAUUUGGUGUGUCUGGGACAUUAGGGGGUGAUGCCGACAAAGAUUUCCUUGCAAGGCAUUAUGAAACAGACAGCUACAUAAUACCAGCUCAUCGCCAUAAGAAGGUUGUUGAGCUUCCAGCAAUUCAGGUCAAUGGGCAAGCCCAGUGGAUGGAGAUCCUCUGUAAGACAGCAAUGAGGGUGGCAGAAAGUGGUCAGGUUGUCUUGGUCAUGUGAAGAUGUCAAGACUGCAAACAAGCUUCUGAAGAAAAUAGAGAGCGAGAAUCCACAUCCCCCCAUCACAUUAUACACAAUCAGUGAGAAACACAACAUUGAGAGAACCAAAUUCAGAGGGGGACAUGUAAUCAUAGCCACAAAUCUAGGAGGUCGUGGAACUGAUAUCAAGGUUGAUCAGGAUGUCAACAUACGUGGUGGCCUCUUCGUCCUCCUGACACAUUACCCUGGCAGUCGCAGAGUGGAGAAACAGGUGUUUGGAAGAACUGGUCGGAAGGGAAACCCGGGCAUGGCCCAGAUGAUCCUCUGUGGGGAUAACCUUGCCCCAGCAUACCAGGGCCAGCCUGUGGAGAUCAUGAGACAAUUGAGAGAGGAGUACGAAGUCCAACGCAUCAAAGAUAUGGAGACAGAUGAGCUUCUCGAAAUAAAAAUGAAAGAGGAUCUGUUUGGCACGUUUUGUGAAUUUCUUGACAAGUUUCAUGGCAACUUCUCAAAACAGGAGAAAGAUGACCUGUCAGGAAUGGGGCCGAAUGAUGUCCCUGAGUGUUUUAAAGAAAAAGGCUCUAAGUUUGAUUACCAGCCUGCCCUCAAUGCUUUGAAAGAAACAUGGUCAUUGUGGCUUACCCUUCACGAGGAGCACAUCCGUCAGCACGAAGAUAUCAGUGUUCUUAAAGCAGACCUUCUUGAGCAUAUCACAAAUAGGGGCAACAUGCUGCUGAAUGGAAAAAGUCAAAACUUCUAUGACCACAUUAAGCAGGCUAUCGGCAGAACAGACUUGCACCUCCGCAACAAAAGUAAGUGUGACUAUGAAGCAAAGUCCUACUGGAAAGAUGUUGAAGAAUGUGACCCUUUUUACAGUGCCGUGGCAAUGUACAACCAAGCUUUCAUCACCAUAAACAUGGGAAAAGAUGGCUACAAAACAGAGGCACGGAAAUUACUGGAAAGGGCAAAGACAUCUGUGGAUGUUUACUUGUCAGAAACCACAAAUACCAUGGUUUCUUUUCAGAUUGCCACAAGAGGCAACUUUGAACCACAUCAUGAAGGAGAAUGCAACUUUCUAAAGCAAAUAGAUUCCAGGAUGAGCAUUCACCAAGCUUGGAUACGUAACAUUGACCUUGCAGUAAAUAAACUUAAAGAGCUUGAGGGUGAAGGCACAGCCAUAACAGAGGUAUCCUCAGUGUACAGCCUCUCAGAAAAUCAAGACUACAUCACAGGAAAUGAACUCACGGCCUUGUAUGACAAUGGCCUGAGCAUUGUGUUUGAGGUGAAAAAGAAGCCAGAGUUCAGCUUUGACGCUUUGAUCUGUUUCUUCAUCGGUAUGUGUCAGGUCAUCCUUGGAGUUCUGGUUUGUGCCCUGUCGUUUGGCUCUGCAACCCAGAUUGGCUUAAGUAUCAUCUCUGAAGGAGUCUCUGACAUGAUUGAAGGGAUAUCUGGCAUGAUAUCAGGCACAUUCGAUUGGGUACAAUGGGCCAUCUCCAAAAGCAUCAGCAUUGGGAUGUCUCUGCUCUCCGCAGGGUUCAACGCCAUUAAAAAAGUUGUCACCACAGCAUAUAAAGUCCUCAAUGGUACUUUGAAACUCUCAUCUGUUGCAAAGGAAAUCAUUGGCACAGGAAAACAUGUUUUCAAGUCCACACAGAAAGCAGCAAAGUAUGCAAUUAAGACAGCAACGAAGAAACUGGCAUCCCCUACAAACAUGAAGAUGGCUCUAAAACACGCAACCAAGUACGCACUUCAGGAGGUAGGGAAGCAGGGUGUAAUCACAGGAAUAAACUAUGCCAUUGAUGCUGGAAUUGGGGCCAUCUUUAAAACAAUUUUAGAAAAAGCUUUCAAAGACAUGGUCAAUUCAACAGUCAAAAAGAAUGCCGAACUAGAUCUUAGUCUCACUGAAUACAUUAGCUCUGCAGUACCUAAAGGAGCUUUGCAGAACCGCAGCAACUAUAAGAUUGACUCAAAGCUUGAACAACAAACAAAAGAUUUAGUUCAAGUUAUGACAAAAGAACUUAUUCCUGGCCUCAUGACUGAUGCCACCACAUCCCAAGUCAGUGAUGUUAUCAGCAGACUCUCUGAGGUGUGCAAUAAUGCAACUGACCUUGUGGCAAAAAGUGGAAAACAUUUGAUUGCAAAAGGAGUCAAAAUAAGUGUAGAAAUAGCUAAACACACCACAAUCUUGGUCCAAAUGAUUCGGUCUAUUCCUACAGAACAUGUUAUCAAUGACAUAUUUGUCCUCAAAUUAAAAAAAGAAAUUGAAGAGCAGCAAAGAUAUGUGGGGCAGUAUGAUCAAGAUGGCAGACAUGAUUUACCAGAUGUGAUUCGCCUAAAGGAUGAGCUCCUAAGCUCCAUUUCGGAAAGUGUCUCCGAAGCGUUCAUAGAUGCUUGUGCUGGUCAUAUGUCCUCUUUUGUGACGGGAACAUUCAAGAAGAAGCUCAAUGGAGUUACUGGAAAGGUUGUUGACAAUGUACUUGGCAGACACAAAACUGAGGCCUUUUUCCAGGACCGGCAGCAUAAACAUGAUAUGAAGUCAGCCAGUCAGAAGGCUGGGAAAGCUCUGUCAGAGACUGAAACAAAAGAACUUCUGGACUAUGCAGAGAAGAUUGGUGAUGUUAAUCGACCAGCCUCGGCCCUGGACAUUUAUGUCCUCACAAACAGUGACCUGCUCCAUGGUAAAGGCAUCCAGUUCAAAGUGGUGGAUCAAGAUGGGAAAACGCUCUCAGAGGAGUCCUACCCGGGAACGAACAGCUCAGCCGGCCAAAUCACUCUACGGCUGACCAAAGAGCCUGAGAAAACACACAGUGAGAAAGGAAUCCUCUCUAAAGCAAAAGACAGAAUCCAAGGAGUGGAAAGUCCAUACAGUGGUCACUUUGACAUCAUCCAAGAUGGGAAAGUAAUCCCUGUGCGCUCAGAGAACAAGAACUGCCUGUACCAUGCCCUAGCACAGGCAACAUCUAACAGGUCUGAGGAUGAGAUCACGAGUCAAGCUGUGAAUCUACGAAACAAUGUUAAAGACCAGAUUAAAGGGAGCCUUCAGGCUUAUAGUGAAAUGGUUCAAACCCAGAAGGCCUAUGAUGCACUCGAGAAAAAUCAUGGAAAAUAUGCUAUAGUUGGAGGGGCCAGGAAUAGAAAACGGACGAAUGAUGGGGAAUAUGAACAUGAUAUCAGGCCCAUGAAGAAUUGUCCUUAUAGUUCCUCAGGGAUAAAUGAGUAUGACAUAGCCUUUACGUACCACCUUGGAUUAGUUGGUCCUAACAAAAGCGUCAAAAACACCAAACUUUUCUCUGACAACAUGGGGGAAAGAGGCAUUGUGGAGGCAGACCAUAUCCCACCAAAGAAUUCCCUGAAGCUGGCCAGAGACCAAAAAUCUGAGAUGAAAAAUCUUCAACAGAAGAAUCCGAAGCUUUAUGAUAUGAUAAACAGCAUUGAAUCAGAUCAAAAUGGAGGGAACCUGCUCACAAUGCGGGUUCUCAAACAGCAUCACAGGAAUGCUCUAACCACUGGAAGGAGUAAGACAUCUGUCAUCUGCAGGAAGCUGCUGGCGGAUACACUUGCAAGCGGAGAUGUGGAGAAAUUACUGAAGUUAUCUUUCAUCAUGGCUCAUCCAAUUGCUUCCGACCAGCUCAGAGACAAAGCAGGAACGGUGUUCUACUAUAAAGCUGGCUUCAAUCAGAUGCUGAAUCACCAUAGUAAAGAGGGGAUCAUCGACGAGAAUCAGCAGGCGAGGCUGAAGUCCUGGGUGUCCGAUAAGAAGUACAUGGACCCGGACACCCCAGAGUACAACAACAUCCUUGCAGCCAUCCAGUAACACAACCUCCACUGGAGACAUGUUAGUAAAGGGAUAAAAUCAUACUUUUAUAUUCAGCAUAAGAAUAUCAUGAAUUCAGUAUAAUCAUAAGGUGAAUCAUUUCUUGUUGAACCUUAGGUGAAUGACAAUUUGACCUUUCUACUGCUGCAUAAUUACUAUACUUUUUUUGUUUGUGCUUCCACAAGGUAGCCUAUGGCUUUUCAAAAUAGAUACAGUAACUUAUGUGCAAGGUGCAUGAGAUGUAAGCUUGCUAAAACAACUAUAGGUUCUUUACAGUAAACUGUAAAUUGACUUUUGAUUUUGUUUCAUUCAGUACUGUAUGCUAUACUGGGUGCCAAAGUUCAUUUCUCAAUGUCAUAAUAUUUACUGAUGUCAUAAUAUUUAAUGUUUGUAGUUUCUUAGUGUUGAAUAAUAUAGCCUACUUUCCAUUUUAGUGUAAUGAUCAUGAUAACCUUUUAAAAUCAAAUCAGAAUGUAUUUGUCGCAUGUGCAGAAUACAGUGAAAUGCUUACCCACAAGCCCUUAACCAACAAUGCAGUUUUAAGAAAAAAGAAAGAAAGAAAGAAAUAUUACAAAUAAUUAAGGAGCAAUAAUAAAAUAACAGUAGCGAGACUAUGUAUUUUAUGCUCAUCAUCAGUGGUUUCACAGUCAAAUCAUGGUCUCAUUGGCAGUGUUUAUCAUGUAUUGGAUUUCUUUACUAUUGGAUUAUGGAUGAUUUUAUAUUUACUCAAUCCAAGGUGGUGUUUUAAGCCAUUUGAAUAAAUGUUUGCAUUCUCAAAAAUAUUAUCUGUAUUUGAAACUAUUGAUAAUAAACUGAUUUAAUUUGCAAGACUACUAGCAAUGUG